UACAGAGGGUGCAAGCGUUGUUCGGAAUUAUUGGGCGUAAAGCGCGUGUAGGCGGCUUAGCAAGUCGGGCGUGAAAGCCCUCGGCUCAACCGAGGAAGUGCACCCGAAACUGCUGAGCUUGAGUGCCGGAGAGGAUGGCGGAAUACCCCAAGUAGAGGUGAAAUUCGUAGAUAUGUGGAGGAACACCGAUGGCGAAGGCAGCCCCCUGGGUUAACACUGACGCUCAUGCACGAAAGCGUGGGGAGCAAACAGG
RNAcentral lists this ribosomal RNA (253 nucleotides) under uncultured bacterium. RNAcentral describes it as "partial 16S ribosomal RNA". It matches the Rfam family "Bacterial small subunit ribosomal RNA", at positions 524 to 776 of the family's 1533-position model. The record is from RNAcentral.